CAUUGUCGAAAUCGAACGGAAGAACGACCCGCGAACAGUCUUUGCGUACCAAACAGGGCCCGUGGGAGCGCAAUGCUCACGCGGCUCGCGUCGCGUCGGCGUGGACGUACCCGAGGCCCGCGUCGUACCGACGGAAAUACAUUGUCAGCACGGAUCGUGCCAAGGAGCUUCAUGGAGAGAAUCGUCGUCCCGCGCCUUCGGUCGCCCUCGUUGAGGGGCUCGAGGCGGGGGGACGUGCGCGAUCUCUGCUAAAGUCUAAAUGACUCUCGGCAACGGAUAUCUCGGCUCUUGCAUCGAUGAAGAACGUAGCGAAAUGCGAUACUUGGUGUGAAUUGCAGAAUCCCGCGAACCAUCAAUUCUUUGAACGCAAGUUGCGCCCGAAGCCAUUCGGCCGAGGGCACGCCUGCCUGGGUGUCGUGAAUCCCAUUGCCCCAGGGCACCCGUGUUCAUGCAUGCGCAUUGGCGGGGGAACGCUCGGGCGCAGAACGUGGUCUCCCGCGGAAUCGGCACGCGUGUCGUGUCGAGGCGCGGUUGGCCGAAAAUUGAGCACGGAGGUGACGGGCACCACGUCGUUCGGUGGAUCGAACUAGAUUGGCUGCGUCUUGGUCUCGUCGCGCGUCUCGCUCCGGGCUUUGAUGAUCCCGAGUGCGA
This 651-nucleotide ribosomal RNA is filed under the name Tashiroea biglandularis. RNAcentral's name for it is "eukaryotic LSU rRNA". The stretch from base 262 to 417 matches the Rfam family "5.8S ribosomal RNA". The record is from RNAcentral. Lineage: Eukaryota; Viridiplantae; Streptophyta; Magnoliopsida; Myrtales; Melastomataceae.